Molecule: unclassified non-coding RNA, 210 nt
Filed under: Hevea brasiliensis (rubber tree)
Lineage: Eukaryota; Viridiplantae; Streptophyta; Magnoliopsida; Malpighiales; Euphorbiaceae
Source: RNAcentral
GAGAAUCGGCCAAGUGUCAAAAUUUUGCACCUCACUCGUCCUUCUCUUGGAAUCAAACAAUCCUCCAUUUAAUUUUGUUCAAAAUGGUACAAUUCGUACGAAUUCCAACUCCCUUGACCUUAUCCAUUAAGUAUUUUGAAUUGUGAGUGCUCCCUCAUCGAUUUCCAUAUCCAAAAUCCUCUCAGAAGCUUCUCUAUAUAAAGCCACCCU